Long non-coding RNA from Drosophila innubila, 1660 nucleotides. RefSeq lists it as uncharacterized. Lineage: Eukaryota; Metazoa; Arthropoda; Insecta; Diptera; Drosophilidae. The record is from RefSeq and is a predicted model, not a curated record. The transcript has 2 exons.
ACAGUAAACUUACAGGAGGAACGUAACGCUGACGUUUUUGUUGUAUGCGCAGCGCACUUGAGAAUUGUCAUUGUUUUUGUUGCCGCACCGUUCUAGUAAUUCAUUUUCGCGCUCGCUCUCACUUGUUGUAGGUUUCGCUAGCGCUUACAGACUUUUCCCCAAUUGUGUCCGUUUGUUCCGUUCGCGUUCGUUCAUUGAUUUCCUAAUUAAGUUUAUAAUUAAAAUUAAUUGAAAAAUUACCCACAUAUGCAUAUACACAAAAGUACGUAAUAUAUAUAGAUGUUUAUAUGAAAAUGUAGAGUGGCGCGCGUGUUGUAACAUCGAAAAUUGAGUGUCUGUGUCUAUUAAAAUUGAAUGAAAGCACGUUAAAAAUUUAAACAUGAAAUUGUGCCAAAAUCAUGAACCACAGCCUCAGCCAAAGAGGUGGUCCCGUAAAGUACAACGGUGUGGCAACUCUAAGCAAAUGAACUGUUUUACCUGCACACACACACACACAUACACAAGCGCGCAUUCAACACACAACGGAUAAUUUAGUGGAAUUUUCGAAAAUAGCAAACGAAAGGCAACCAUAAUCCUCAAGAGCAGCCUCAGCCCCAGUCGCAGCCUCAGCUACAACAACAACACAGGCAUAAUAAUCAAAGAUUAAAUCAGGUUUAUAUGGAAGGGUUAAAAAGAGCAAAAGCAGCCUGUCACAGGAAGAAAUACACGUUUCCUAGUCGCUGAGCCACAGCUACAACAACAACGAACAACUGAUUUUGAUUACAACUACAAGGAGCGCGCGCUACACAGACACACAUACUCAUAAACACACACCCAUACUCAGACGUGACUUGCGCUCCCUGAAAGCGAGAGCGAGAGAGAGUGAGCGUUAGUGAUGGAGAGAGAGCAAACACAGAUUAACUAGCGCGCUCAGUUUUCCGCUCAGUUUUUCGGCUCAGUUCUCAUUCGAGUGCGGUACGGUUACGUCGCGUUGCUUUACAAAGCAGCGGUGAAAAUACAACACAAGAUUUUAUUUUCCGUUUUCCGCUAGGCGACGGCAACGACACAACGAAACGUAUGGGCGGCAUUUGUUUUGAAAGCAAUGUAAGAGGAAAACGAAAUAUAAACUAACGUCGCGACCGCGCCUCGCUAAUAACAUUUAUUUGUGUUUGUGAACCUGUGUGAACGAAAAAGAAGCAAGCUAAGUCAAGUGAAAAUAGUGCAAAACGAAAACGAAAAUAAAACAAAAAAAUUUGUAGUAAUAAUAAUAAUAAUAAUAAUCAUAAGAUAGCCAAAAGACAGGCCCAGACCAAACCGCAGAGCAGAGACCAGUUUCAAAUCGCCGCCUAUUUGUGCUGCCGUCGCCGUCGGCAGAAGCAGUGCAUGUGCUUGUAUGUGUGUGAAAGAGCCAGCGAUAGUUUUGAGUGCGGAGAAGGGGAAAUGGCAGUGGCAGGCAAUUGAACGAACACACACACACAUGUGCACAUGCUAGCCAAGACAGUGCUACAACAACAACAACACUAACAAGAGAAACAAGCGACCACAUACGGUGAAAAGACCGCGUCGCCGUCUCAAGGAGCGAAAGGCAGUGUGAGAGAGAAAGAGAGGAAGAGGCAGCAACGGAGCGAGAGCUAUAAGAAUAAUAAAUUACACUUUGCUUUUGCUAUAAUAAGAAGAAAAA